CACAAAAAUAUUUACCUGUUAAAGACUAUUAUGUUUCCAUCUGUAUAAUCAGUUGUGGGUGCACAAUUUGAAAUUAUUUUUUGAAGUGAACAGUUAUUUAUGAAAGACUGGAGUGAGAUGUACUAAAUAGCUUUAAAACUAAAUAUAUUUUUCACAUGAACUCUUAAAGUUCUGAGUGUAAUACAAUAUCGGAUGAGUGGGUAUUAAACCAGCAUGCGUGCCCUUAUUUACGGACCAAAGUUUUUACAGAAAGUCUAGGAACAAUAAAAAGUCUAUAAAAGUGAGAUCCUCAUAGUUAUGAUGUAAUUUUUUUUAACAGUAGCCUCCUAUUAGAAUUAAAUUUUGUCAAGGCCCUAUGUGCCAUCUUUCGUGAUUAUUGGCCAUAUGUACCACUGUUGAGUAAUACACUUUACCGUUUCUUAAGUUCAGUUCAACCAAAUACAUUUCUCACUUGACAAGUAUUUUUUUUUUAAACUGUUGCUGGUGGUUGAAAACUAGUUUUACAUAAUGCUAUUGUUUGUAAAAUGAAAUUACAUCUUGCUACAGGGCUUCACCUCAGUACUUUCUUUAGUAAGGAUCUUACGCAACUUUAGUUCGAGUAAAAUGUUUCCAGUUACAUUUGGUGUUUAAAAAAAGAAAGUUUUAUCCCAAUGUUAUUGGUAUCAUUUGCAACAUUAUAUUUUGGAAAUUGUUUCCAGGUAAACAAUCUGAAACAAUUUCUUAAUAAUAAUGUUGCAAUUGAUUAGAAACACAUUGGGUUAGAACAUUCUAUAUUUUUUAUAACACCCAAUGUAACUGGAAACAUUUUACUCGAACUAAAGUUGCGUAAGAUCCUUACUAAAGAAAGUACUGAAGUGAAGCCUUGUAGCAAGAUGUAAUUUUAUUUCACAAACAAUAACACUCUGUAAAAAUAGUUUUCAACCACCAGUAACAGUUUUCUAAAAAUAUACUUGCCAAGUCAGAAAAAUAUUUGGUUGAACUGUAAUUCAGAAACGGUAAAGUGUAUUACUCAAAAGUGGUAUGGCCAAUGUUCAUCAAACUUGGCAAAUAGGUUGUACUUAAUGUUAAGCAUUAAAAAUUUAGUAAUAAUUUGUUUCUCUGUUUAUCACAGCUAUGACCUCAACCUCAUCAACCUACCCCAACCCACAGCUCAAUAUCACUCCUAACUUUCAACCUCAACUUCAAGCAAUCCCAGCACUUUUACAAUACCAAAUGAAUUGUCAUUAAAUUUUUGUGUUUGUCUUAUAUUUCCUGUUUUUUAUUAUUUUGUUUUUGGUUAUUUAAGCUUUGUGCAUUUGCUCAUUUUGAAAUCGUUAAUGAAAUUUCUCUGUAUACCUUA
This is a long non-coding RNA of Frankliniella occidentalis (western flower thrips), 1339 nucleotides long. RefSeq lists it as uncharacterized. The transcript is spliced from 2 exons. The record is from RefSeq and is a predicted model, not a curated record. Lineage: Eukaryota; Metazoa; Arthropoda; Insecta; Thysanoptera; Thripidae.